Molecule: non-coding RNA, 2071 nt
Organism: Kogia breviceps (pygmy sperm whale)
Lineage: Eukaryota; Metazoa; Chordata; Mammalia; Artiodactyla; Physeteridae
Source: RefSeq, a predicted model, not a curated record
AGCAGCUCUCCUCUUCAGCGCGCGCCACCUCCUGUGGCCGCCUCGGCGCCAGGCCCUGGGUCUCGCCUGAGGGCGCCGGGGUCCCGCGGCGCAACCGGCCCCGCCUCGCUCGCAGUCCGCCGCCGCCUAGGGCGAGAGGUUGCCAGCCUAAGCCUGCAGCGCGCAGAGGCCAAACCCUUCCCCGGGUCCCGCGCGCUGUGCUACCCAGGGAUCCCCACUGUUGCGGACACGGGGCUUUUCUAGUUUACGGCGUGACCCGCUUCGAGGAAUUGCGGUACCGAGACCCCUUAGGGACAGGGUGUCUAUUCCCUACUUAAAGGGACGAAGACUCCGGUUCAGCCUACUGUGCCAGACCUUCGGAGGAAUCCUUAUGCAAAUGAGCGUUUUAGCGAUCCGAAUGACGGAUGCGGCCAGGAUAGGCGGCAGGGGUCCGGCCCCCCACCAGUUGGAGAGCCAAGCUAAGGGGAGGUCGGAAUGUUUGCUUACCUUUUUACCUCUGAGGAAGUCGUGGCUUUAACCCUGUUCACGGCCAACCUGGCAGAGCGAACUGUGGGAACGUUUAAAGCCUAAGAUUGUAGGAGCUGGCAAGGCUCCAUUUAAUCCAGGGCCCUCAUUUUACAGACGGAGAAACUGAGGCUCAGAGGAAGGUCACCCAGGUGGGCCUGGAUGCCAGUUUCCGGUAUGAUGGUGCCGAAAUUGUGUCAUUUCUACUAGUCUCUACUUUGAAAUUUAAGGUCGUCCUCUGAUUAUUAAAAUGCGGAAACUGAGGCCGAGUGAGGAGCACAGCUUGCUCGGUAAAGCUUUUCCUGAGAGGCGGCAUGUGCUUUGCCGAGGAAGAGGAGCUGCCUAGAAAUGAGAGCUCCUCUCCUGUACAAGGCGCAGUUCCCCAUACUGUAGGGAACAAUUGAAAAAGAAGGCAUAAAGGCAGCAAACAUCAAAACCUCCAAGAUUACACUUACCUGGGUUCUAAUGCGAAUGACUUUGUGUGCUAGUGUGUAAAACUAUAAAUCUGAGGACUUUAAUCUGAUUCUCAUCUCCAAAAUAAACUUCGGAGUUCCUAAAAGGCUCUAGCCACAGGAAUCCACUUCUCCAAUGGACCAAUUUUGCUAUAAGGUAGCACGUUCACCCUGGCCACGGUGUGGGUCAAGGGUGCUUAAACUCUGAGUGUGCCUCAGAAUCACCUCAGAAAACAGCAUGAGAAUGUACACUGCCAGCACUGCAGGGAAGCCAACUCAGAGCCUAGUGGGGCAGGAAUCUGCAUUUUUACAUGAACCACAGCUGAUUCUGCUCAGACGAGCCAACUAUCCCACUUUGAGACGCUCUGGCUAGUCUCUGAGCUCUGAUCCACGGUGUGAACCAAGAAAUCAUGGGUGGAGGCAUUUCUUACUUUUGUUCCCAAGACCCAACGUUCAAAGGGUUGCCUUUGAACACAAUGCCUCUCAGGCAGUGUGUCCCUGCAGGGCAUCAGGUCACCUCACCUGUGCAUUCUAAGGGACAUAUGGUUCUUCUUAUUUAUCCUGAGCAAAUCUCCCUCAGAGGCCAGUGUAACGGAUUCUGAGAAGUGGGGAUUAGGCGGGAGGAAGGGAGGAGAACAAAUGUGGACACAGAACACAAGAGGAUGCCGUGCUGGCCACUGUGCUCCAGGCUUUGUCGUCCCACAGAAGCGCAUAUGGUGGGGCACUAACACCCAUCUUCCAGCUGAGGACAUGAGGGCUCAGAGGUCACACCGCUAAUAAGAGCCGGACUCAGAUCAGAGUGCCUUGUUCUUGAUCUCCAUCUUGAACUCCUCUCAGGGCGUGCUAAAGGUCAGCGACUGCAGUGGCUAGAGACUUCAUUCUUGGAGAACCAGAUGGGUCCUAAUGAAUAGCAGGAAGGACAUUAGUGUCCAAGGGUGAUGUGUGCUGUGCAAAGAAGAAGAACAAAGUGAAGAAAGUGGUAGGAGCACCCAGAGGAGAAGCAAAGAAGGGAAUGAAUUCUCUUCCAUCAUAGAGCUAAUGACUCUCAAAGGAAAAAAAAAAGAGAUGUGAUCUCAGAAAAAUAAAGAAGCUAACAUAAAAACGGCAGACCCAGG